ACACAUCACUGCAUCUGUUGAUCUCUCAUAUUUAAAGACACCUGUUUUCAUCAGUGAUGCUGCUCUAUCUGCUGCCUCUGUAUGGUUCCCAGACGCUAACACAAUUAUACUACUAAGCAGUAAACCUAAUAAGUCAAGAAUUUGCUCCUAAUCAGAAAAAUGAAAUUGCUACAGAAGCUUCCUAAAUUUAGUUGGGAAACUAAAGCCAUCCUUUUGAUAAACAGUUUGUAGAAGACUGUCAGAAGCCUGCAAAGAGAGGUUCCCUCCAUAGCAAGUUCACCUGCUGGGAUAUUCAGAUCCUUCACUGAAGUUAACGUGAGUGACUUUUCCUUGCAUUUCACAAUAUUGUCACUUACAUGAAGUUUUACAUUCUGCCCAAGCUGUGCUCAAGAUAACCAUUCCAUAAGUGGGUUCACUUUCAUUAACAUUAUCUGUAGCACUCACACAGGAUGAUGAGCUGCAAAGAUAAGUCAGAGUGGCAGACACCUCCCACAGACUCCAAUGGCUUUUCCCAUGAGGUCCCUUGCAUCCUGCUGACGUCUCAAUCUGUUUCUCCCCAAGGGUCAUGAAAUCAAUUUCUUGCCAGGAACUUUGUCAGUCUCGUUCUACUGCUUGACUUUCAAAUUUAGUGUGAAAACUGUUUUAGAUGAGAUGGCAUGACCAUAACUGCUUCUGAUUCUGGGAUCUGGUCAAGCACAAACAGAUGAUGCCUUGAAGAGCAAAACACCUCUACUGGAUUAGUGAGCUUUUGUGUGCAGAAUCAAUUGACACAGAGCAGUGGAAUGAAGGCCUCAUACCAAGGCAAAGGGGUGAAGUCUCUCCUUUUUUGCUUGGAACAUCUGCAGAAAUCCUGACAGCAUGGUUUAUUAUGCAAGGAAACAAAUUGAGUUCCCUUUGCCAUAGAAAACUGUGUGGCUUUGUGAUGCCUCUGGGAUCAGAUUUUUAAGGAUAUACAGGACUGCAACAGAUCUUGCAGCCCACGGGAGACAAAACAUAUCAUUUCUCCAAGAGAAAAUUGAAAGACCAAUUUCCAAGCAGAGAUUUUUUUUCAUGGGUUUGGCCACUGAGUAACUAAAAGGAGCAUCAAAUGUUCCAGUCUAAAUGCUAUUCUGGUUGUUUCCUCCAGAUAGACAGCUGGUACCAUUCAGUCCACUAAACCUAUGUAACCUCUAACUACUGCUCAUUACAUAUUUAUACACUGAAAUUCUAAAUUUUCUUUCCAUCUUUUCAGUACUCGGCUUCUAGUAAGAAAAAAUUAUUUAACUCAGAA
Molecule: non-coding RNA, 1270 nt
Organism: Zonotrichia albicollis (white-throated sparrow)
Lineage: Eukaryota; Metazoa; Chordata; Aves; Passeriformes; Passerellidae
Source: RefSeq, a predicted model, not a curated record